This 1613-nucleotide long non-coding RNA is filed under the name Canis lupus familiaris (dog). RNAcentral's name for it is "lncRNA (ENSCAFG00845018837.1)". Lineage: Eukaryota; Metazoa; Chordata; Mammalia; Carnivora; Canidae. The record is from RNAcentral.
CAUGGAUGUCUGGCCCAUCACUGACUACUUCAAGCAGCAUACGUAAAUCACGCUUUCGAGUUACAAGCAGCAUCACUGUUCUCUCUCAUCUUUGCUCACAUUGCUCUUUGUGUUCCAGAGGCAACUUUUUGUGUUUGUCUGGCCACCUGAGAAACCUGUGCUGUUGUACACGCAAAGGCUGUUUUUUGGUGCCCCUUGCCAUUGCUACGCGUUAUCCUUGGCCUUGCUUCAGAUUCUAGGCUGGUUCUUUUUCCCAUUUCAAAUCUUCUGUUUUUAUUGGUGAUACCUUGUGUUUACUGGUGACCGAGAUGUAAUAGUACCGUGCUUACUUUUGUCCUCGUGUCUGGAAAAAAAAAAAAAAAAGUCAGUAGAAGGAGUGAUUGUGUGUGUGAGUGUGAGUGCAUGUGCGUGUUUCAGGAUUUCAGAGGCCGGGAACUGCAAAGUGUCCCUGAACCUCCUCAACUGCUGCAGCUCUCCCCCGCUCCCAGCUUGAAUCUGCUCUUUGCAGGUCAUCAUUUUCUGACGAUCAGGGAGCCCCACAGAACUGGUGUCUUGCGGUGGGUAACCAACCAGAAUGGACCAGGCAAAAAUUCCAGCAGUGGACACACACCUAAGACAACAAAGUUUACUUUAAAAGAAUUGAAAGGGGCGAGCUUAAUUUCAUCAAAGGAACAUCAGGAUGAAUUGUUGAAAACCACAAAAAGCGAUGCCAUUUAGAUCGCCUCCAAAAUGAAUGCUGCCAGCUGUCUGAAAAGACACUUGGGUGCUGGUGUCCAUGCCCGAGGGUAAGGCUCUUCUUCAUCUGAGGCCUCCUAGGAAACUAAGAAUUAGGGACUAACAUGUGUGAGAGCCAAAAUUAAGAAAAAGUGAGAAAAAGUACGGAAUUACUUGUAAGUCAGAGCCCAGAGAGACCAUUUGAGCGAAGAUUUUUCCAGCGCGCAUGCACACGUUUUCAAAUUCAGGGCUAGAGAAAGCAGAGGGAUGUUGAGAACCGACUUCAUCAGAAUCGAGCGAACAAACGCUCAGACUUAGAAGCAUGGAGAAGAGGUAGGAGGCCCUGUGCUUGAAAGAAGCCUGUGGUGUCAGAAGGUAUUUUACAGCAAAGAGGUCCUUUUGUGAAGAGGGGAAACUCUUUUUUAAUUACCAAUGUUCAGUUUACUCCAUGUUCUUCCAGAGUUUAUAAUCUAAGACUUGUUAAUUUGGCACAAAUAUACAUAAAUCACUUCUGUCCAGGGGAGGAAAGGGAGGAUGGCGGUGUCAGCAAGUUUUCAGUAGUGGUGGAAGUGAAUGAAUACAUUUAUGAUUUUAGUCAUCGUGGGUAAUUCUAACACCCUUAUUGUUUAUUUGAGGAUGUAAGGUGACUAAAUAAAUCUGAAUCACAACUGUACUUUAUUGAUUUUGCAGAGUUUAGAGGAAGAUUUAUGAGACAUGGAACCUUCCAUCGGGUUUGGAAGAAAGUAGAGGGAAUGCGGAGAUGCCAGACCGCCACUAAGACCCAUGGACAAUCCCGUACUCACACUCCUUUAUCGAACUUUAAGAUUUAUCAGUAAUAUGCUGCCUUUGCAAGAUGAAAACAAACUAAUGCCAAGAAGGCAUAUUCUUCGGUAUUUGGA